AUUAGGCAUGCAAGUCGUACGCGAAAGAGGGGGCAACCCCUCGAGUAGAGUGGCGAACGGGUGAGUAACGCGUGAAGAACCUGCCUUCGACAGGGGGAUAACACUCCCAACGGGGUGCUAAUACCGCAUGAGACCACGGGAUCGCAUGGUCCUGAGGUCAAAGGUGGCCUCUAUUUAUAAGCUACCGGUCGAAGAUGGCUUCGCGUCCCAUUAGCUAGUUGGCGGGGUAAUGGCCCACCAAGGCGACGAUGGGUAGCUGGUCUGAGAGGAUGGUCAGCCACACUGGGACUGAGAUACGGCCCAGACUCCUACGGGAGGCAGCAGUCGAGAGGCUUCGGCAAUGGGGGAAACCCUGACCGAGCGACGCCGCGUGGGGGAUGAAGGCCUUUGGGUUGUAAACCCCUUUUGUUCGGGAAGAAGUGCGAUCAGGUGAACAAUCUGGUCGUUUGACGGUACCGGACUAAUAAGCUCCGGCUAACUCCGUGCCAGCAGCCGCGGUAACACGGGGGGAGCAAGCGUUGUUCGGAAUCACUGGGCGUAAAGGGCGUGUAGGCGGUGUGGUAAGUGAGAUGUGAAAUCCCUCGGCUCACCCGAGGAUCUGCAUCUCAUACUGCUACGCUUGAGUACGGGAGAGGAUGAGGGAAUUCCUGGUGUAGCGGUGAAAUGCGUAGAUAUCAGGAGGAACACCGGUGGCGAAAGCGCUCAUCUGGCCCGAUACUGACGCUGAGGCGCGAAAGCUAGGGGAGCAAACGGGAUUAGAUACCCCGGUAGUCCUAGCCGUAAACGGUGAUCACUAGGUGUUGGGGGCAUUGACCCCUCCAGUGCCGCAGCUAACGCAAUAAGUGAUCCGCCUGGGGAGUA
This 861-nucleotide ribosomal RNA is filed under the name uncultured bacterium. RNAcentral describes it as "bacterial SSU rRNA". It matches the Rfam family "Bacterial small subunit ribosomal RNA", at positions 48 to 882 of the family's 1533-position model. The record is from RNAcentral.